ACCCGCGUACAUGCCACCGGGGCAUCCCGGAGGCAGGAAAGGCCUCGGCCGGACAGGGAUGGGCAUGCGGCGCAUUAGGCAGUAGGCGGGGUAACGGCCCACCUAACCGACGAUGCGUAGGGGUUCUGAGAGGAAGGUCCCCCACACUGGUACUGAGACACGGACCAGACUCCUACGGGAGGCAGCAGUGAGGAAUAUUGGUCAAUGGUCGGGAGACUGAACCAGCCAAGCCGCGUGAGGGAUGAAGGUACAGAGUAUCGUAAACCUCUUUUGUCAGGGAACAAAGGCGGGGACGUGUCCCCGGAUGAGUGUACCUGAAGAAAAAGCAUCGGCUAACUCCGUGCCAGCAGCCGCGGUAAUACGGAGGAUGCGAGCGUUAUCCGGAUUUAUUGGGUUUAAAGGGUGCGCAGGCGGUCUGUUAAGUCAGCGGUCAAAGCCCGGGGCUCAACCCCGGCCCGCCGUUGAAACUGGCAGUCUCGAGUUGGAGAGAAGUAUGCGGAAUGCGCGGUGUAGCGGUGAAAUGCAUAGAUAUCGCGCAGAACUCCGAUUGCGAAGGCAGCAUGCCGGCUCCACACUGACGCUGAGGCACGAAAGCGUGGGUAUCGAACAGGAUUAGAUACCCUGGUAGUCCACGCAGUAAACGAU
Molecule: ribosomal RNA, 645 nt
Filed under: uncultured bacterium
Lineage: Bacteria
Description: bacterial SSU rRNA
Rfam family: Bacterial small subunit ribosomal RNA
Source: RNAcentral